CUCAGUGUCAGUCAAUCCAGGAAGGUCACUUUCACCCUUCUUCACAAUCACCAAGUUCAAAACAGAAAGGUCAGGGCUGACAAUGCAACCACGGACAGACUUUCUCCUCCUCUCACCAUUCCUCCUUCCAUAACCACGGAAGCAAGGGGUUCCUGGAAAAAAAAUAUUUAAAAGGUUUGUUAAGAUGCAGGAAAGCAAGCUUCUACAAACUUCGGUCAUGAAUGCAAAAAAUACAGAUAAAACACGAGGGUCACUCAGAACCUCUGUGUAGCAAGAGGCGAACACGGCCGGGGGUCAACACUCCCUGCUUCAUUGGAAACCCUUGCUUGUCACAUCCUCCCAUAAUCUUGAAGACAUAUCCC
Molecule: long non-coding RNA, 362 nt
Filed under: Prunus persica (peach)
Lineage: Eukaryota; Viridiplantae; Streptophyta; Magnoliopsida; Rosales; Rosaceae
Description: long non-coding RNA (PPER_LNC001565)
Source: RNAcentral